Molecule: ribosomal RNA, 439 nt
Filed under: uncultured bacterium
Lineage: Bacteria
Description: partial 16S ribosomal RNA
Rfam family: Bacterial small subunit ribosomal RNA
Source: RNAcentral
CCUACGGGAGGCUGCAGUAAGGAAUAUUGGUCAAUGGGGGAAACCCUGAAGCAGCAACGCAGCGUGGAGGAUGAAGGUUUUCGGAUUGGAAACUCCUUUUGUUAAAGAAGAUAAUGACGGUAUCUAACGAAUAAUCACCGGGUAACUCGGUGCAAGCAGCCGCGGUUAUACGGGGGGAGCAAGCGUUACUCGGAUUCACUGGGCGUAAAGAGCGCGUAGGCGGGAUAGCAAGUCAGAUGUGAAAUCCUGUGGCUUAACCAUAGAACUGAAUUUGAAACUGUUAUUCUAGAGUAUGGUAGAGGUAGGUGGAAUUCUUGGUGUAGGGGUAAAUCCGUAGAGAUCACGAGGAAUCCUCAUUGCGAAGGCGACCUGCUAGAACAUAACUGACGCUGAUGCGCGAAAGCGUGGGGAGCAAACAGGAUUAGAUACCCCUGUAGUC